RNAcentral lists this ribosomal RNA (490 nucleotides) under uncultured bacterium. RNAcentral's name for it is "bacterial SSU rRNA". It matches the Rfam family "Bacterial small subunit ribosomal RNA", at positions 29 to 495 of the family's 1533-position model. The record is from RNAcentral.
AACUAACGCUGGCGGCGUGCCUAACACAUGCAAGUCGUACGAGAAAGUUGGCUUCGGCCGAUGAGUAAAGUGGCGCACGGGUGAGUAAUGCGUGGAUAAUCUGCCCUUUAGUUGGGAAUAACGUACCGAAAGGUGCGCUAAUACCUGAUAAUACUGCAUAACUACUGUUGUGUAGUCAAAGAAGGCCUCUGUUUACAAGCUUUCGCUAAAGGAUGAGUCCGCGUACCAUUAGCUAGUUGGUGGGGUAACGGCCUACCAAGGCGACGAUGGUUAGCUGGUCUGAGAGGAUGAUCAGCCACACUGGAACUGAGACACGGUCCAGACUCCUACGGGAGGCAGCAGUGAGGAAUAUUGCGCAAUGGGGGCAACCCUGACGCAGCAACGCCGCGUGAGUGAGGAAGGUUUUCGGACUGUAAAGCUCUGUCGAGCGGGAGAAGUGUACCAUGGCUAAUAUCCAUGAUAUUUGACGGUACCGCUAGAGGAAGCACGG